This is a long non-coding RNA of Brassica napus (rape), 481 nucleotides long. RefSeq lists it as uncharacterized. The transcript is spliced from 2 exons. Lineage: Eukaryota; Viridiplantae; Streptophyta; Magnoliopsida; Brassicales; Brassicaceae. The record is from RefSeq and is a predicted model, not a curated record.
GGAUCCAAGAACUGGAGAGUGGUUGGAACGAUGGAGGAAGCAAGCUACUCUUGAAAGAGCCUUCGUGCCAAUGUAGUUUUGUCAGAUACAUUUCAUCUGAGAAAUGGAAGGACGUCACAGAUGUUGAUGAUCAUCUUGAUGAUAUCACCAAGGACUGGUUAAACCCUGGACUUUUCAACUGAAGACAACGGGUAUGCGAUGGUAGCUAAUUAGAGUUUUGCUUCCAUCUUCAGUUGAGAACAAAAACAAAAAAGUUCUCAAGAGACCAUUGAAAUUUUAAAUCUUAAACACGAGUUUAUCAGUUGAAUGAUGUCUUUUGGGGCUUCUUCUUGUGAUCCAGUUUUUUUCUAUUUGGUUCCACUUUUGUUAUAUAAUUGGAAACUUGGAAUGAAAGCCUCUGCUUUGUUAGCUGUUGUACUUUUUUUUGGGGGUCAAAUUUAGCUGUUAUACUUAGUUAAUUGUAAAAGAACAUGAAAUCAAU